UACGGAGGGUGCAAGCGUUAUCCGGAAUUACUGGGUUUAAAGGGUCCGCAGGCGGGCUGAUAAGUCAGUGGUGAAAUCCUACGGCUCAACCGUAGAACUGCCAUUGAUACUGUUAGUCUUGAGUAAGGUGGAAGUUGGCGGAAUACAGCAUGUAGCGGUGAAAUGCGUAGAUAUGCUGUAGAACACCGAUUGCGAAGGCA
Molecule: ribosomal RNA, 200 nt
Filed under: uncultured bacterium
Lineage: Bacteria
Description: partial 16S ribosomal RNA
Rfam family: Bacterial small subunit ribosomal RNA
Source: RNAcentral